GCAGCAGCCACGGGAAUACGAAGGGUGCAAGCGUUACUCGGAAUUACUGGGCGUAAAGCGUGCGUAGGUGGUGGUUUAAGUCCGUUGUGAAAGCCCUGGGCUCAACCUGGGAAUUGCAGUGGAUACUGGGUCACUAGAGUGUGGUAGAGGAUAGUGGAAUUUCCGGUGUAGCAGUGAAAUGCGUAGAGAUCGGAAGGAACAUCUGUGGCGAAGGCGACUAUCUGGGCCAACACUGACACUGAGGCACGAAAGCGUGGGGAGCAAACAGGAUUAGAUACCCGAGUAGUCCCUGUCUCUUAUAA
This 302-nucleotide ribosomal RNA is filed under the name uncultured bacterium. Its description in RNAcentral is "partial 16S ribosomal RNA". It matches the Rfam family "Bacterial small subunit ribosomal RNA", at positions 508 to 809 of the family's 1533-position model. The record is from RNAcentral.